UUCCAAGUUGAAACAAGACAACACAGCUACCAGAAGACGGUAUGAUCACUAAAGAUGAAACAUUAGCUCAGUACAGCAACAUGCGUAAACCGGUAUUGCUAUUGCUCCAUACAAGUGUUUCCGCAACUGAGAUGCACAGGUGAAUAGUAGCAAACUGAUGCUAGUACAAAGAAUGAGACCAUUUCGCCAAAAGACAUAUCAAAUAUGAACCACUUAAUUUUUGAAAAAAAAACCACCAGCGCAAAUUCAUCCAACAGCAACAGCAACAAUAAGUUAUAC
This 279-nucleotide unclassified non-coding RNA is filed under the name Hevea brasiliensis (rubber tree). Lineage: Eukaryota; Viridiplantae; Streptophyta; Magnoliopsida; Malpighiales; Euphorbiaceae. The record is from RNAcentral.